ACCAGGGUGGCAGAGUGGUAAAAGCAUUGGACUAAAGAUCCAAUGGAAAAUGUCCCUGUGGGUUCGAACCCCACUCCUGAUA
This is a non-coding RNA of Carassius carassius (crucian carp), 82 nucleotides long. Lineage: Eukaryota; Metazoa; Chordata; Actinopteri; Cypriniformes; Cyprinidae. The record is from the annotation of a RefSeq genome assembly.